AAGAAGAGGGUAGAUGAGAGGCGGUGAUGCGGGGGGGGCUGGGGGGGUGCGGACGUAUAGGGUGUGAAGAGCUCGGAGGCGGUUCGGCAAGGCGGGUGUGGAAUCAGCAGGCAGGACGUGGAGGGGGCAUUCGAAACGGCCGGGACUCGAGGACGGUAGGGGAGUGGGGAAGUCCCGGUGUAGCGGUGAAAUGCGCAGAGAUCGGGAGGAACACCAGUGGCGAAGGCGGCACUGUGGGCCGGAACUGACGCUGAGGAGCGAAAGCGUGGGGAGCGAACAGGAUUAGAUACCCCAGUAGUC
Molecule: ribosomal RNA, 300 nt
Filed under: uncultured Slackia sp.
Lineage: Bacteria; Bacillati; Actinomycetota; Coriobacteriia; Eggerthellales; Eggerthellaceae
Description: partial 16S ribosomal RNA
Rfam family: Bacterial small subunit ribosomal RNA (bases 56-300)
Source: RNAcentral